CCUACGGGUGGCUGCAGUGAGGAAUAUUGGGCAAUGGCCGGAAGGCUGAACCAGCCAAGCCGCGUGAGGGAGGAAGGCGCAGAGCGUCGCAGACCUCUUUUGCCGGGGGACAAAAGGCCGGACUCGACCGGUCCUGAGGGUACCCGGAGAAAAAGCAUCGGCUAACUCCGUGCCCGCAGCCGCGGUAAUACGGAGGAUUCGAGCGUUAACAGGAUUCAUUGGGUUUAAGGGGUGCGCAGGCGGGGCUUUAACCCGGCGGUGAAAUCGCGGGGCUCAACCCCGCCCAGCCGUGGGAACUGGGGGCCUUGAGUGCGGCGGAGGAAUGCGGAAUGCGCGGUGUAGCGGUGAAAUGCAUAGAUAGCGCGCAGAACCCCGAUUGCGAAGGCAGCGUGCCGUGCCGCCACUGACGCUGAGGCACGAAAGCGCGGGGAUCGAACAGGAUUAGAUACCCGAGUAGUC
RNAcentral lists this ribosomal RNA (459 nucleotides) under uncultured bacterium. Its description in RNAcentral is "partial 16S ribosomal RNA". It matches the Rfam family "Bacterial small subunit ribosomal RNA", at positions 338 to 795 of the family's 1533-position model. The record is from RNAcentral.